UGCAGCGAUCCCCCUGCCUCAGCCUCCUGAGUGCUGGGAUUACAGGGGAGGGGACGGAUAAGGAACCUCAGGGACCUAAUCAGUGGCGUCUUACAGGAACUCGGUGUGUUUGGAGAACACAAUGGCCUGGGACAAAGUCUGUGAGGUUCAGGGGCCAGAGGGACGCAGUUUUCCCACCCCUGCUUCCCACACCACCUGGCAUCUGGACACAGGAUUGGGUAUGGAAGCUGCCUCCUUCCCGCGGGAAUGACUACUGAGAUGCUGCCAUGAGCGCCUGGCCCAAUCUGUCCUGUCCUGGGAGGACCCUCCCUUUUCCAGGAUGAGCACAGCGUCCACUUUCCCUGGGACGGUCCCCUCCUUCACCCUGGAAGUUCUCCAACAUCCUUGAUUACUGGGGUUGAGCUCACCGUCCCCCGACUGAGCUUCCUAAUUCUCCCAUCCCAGGGGUUUCCUCCAUUCGUACAGCUCUGACAAAGACUUGCCAAGGAUUCAGUCUUGUCUGCCAGUGUCCCUCAAGGAAAAAAAAAAUUUUGGGGGCUGGGGGGACAG
Molecule: long non-coding RNA, 549 nt
Organism: Chinchilla lanigera (long-tailed chinchilla)
Lineage: Eukaryota; Metazoa; Chordata; Mammalia; Rodentia; Chinchillidae
Exons: 3
Source: RefSeq, a predicted model, not a curated record